This is a long non-coding RNA of Helianthus annuus (common sunflower), 138 nucleotides long. RefSeq lists it as uncharacterized. The record is from RefSeq and is a predicted model, not a curated record. Lineage: Eukaryota; Viridiplantae; Streptophyta; Magnoliopsida; Asterales; Asteraceae. The transcript has 2 exons.
UUUCUAGAGGAUGGAUCUCUUGAUGAUAACGUCGAGUCUUUUUUAUCACAUGAUGAUACCGAUUUAAGGGAUACUGUCGGUCGUUGUAUGGAUGUGAGCAAAGGUUUUACUUUUACGGAGGUCAAUUCUGUUCGGGCU